This 497-nucleotide ribosomal RNA is filed under the name uncultured bacterium. Its description in RNAcentral is "bacterial SSU rRNA". It matches the Rfam family "Bacterial small subunit ribosomal RNA", at positions 30 to 504 of the family's 1533-position model. The record is from RNAcentral.
CGAACGCUGGCGGCGUGCCUAAGACAUGCAAGUCGAACGGUAAGACACCUUCGGGUGUACACGAGUGGCGCACGGGUGAGUAACGCGUGGGUAAUCUGCCCUCAGGUCGGGGACAACUUCGGGAAACUGGAGCUAAUACCGGAUGAGCCCACGAAGCCUUCGGGCUUCGCGGGAAAAGGUGGCCUCUCCUUGGAAGCUACCGCCAGGGGAUGAGCCCGCGUCCCAUUAGCUUGUUGGUGAGGUAACGGCUCACCAAGGCGACGAUGGGUAGCUGGUCUGAGAGGAUGAUCAGCCACACUGGAACUGAGACACGGUCCAGACUCCUACGGGAGGCAGCAGUCGGGAAUUUUGGGCAAUGGGCGCAAGCCUGACCCAGCAACGCCGCGUGAGGGAUGAAGGCCUUCGGGUCGUAAACCUCUGUCGGGAGGGAAGAACGUUCACCGGAUCAAUACCCCGGGGGACUGACGGUACCUCCAAAGGAAGCACCGGCUAACUCC